This 494-nucleotide ribosomal RNA is filed under the name Salpingus sp. UPOL ZL0053. RNAcentral describes it as "partial 16S ribosomal RNA". It matches the Rfam family "Bacterial large subunit ribosomal RNA", at positions 1844 to 2600 of the family's 2925-position model. Lineage: Eukaryota; Metazoa; Arthropoda; Insecta; Coleoptera; Salpingidae. The record is from RNAcentral.
UUUAAAGUCUGACCUGCCCAAUGAUAAGUUUAAUGGCCGCAGUAUUUUGACUGUGCAAAGGUAGCAUAAUCAUUAGUUUUUUAAUUGAAAGCUAGAAUGAAUGGUUUAAUGAGAAAAAAGCUGUCUAUAUUUUAAUUAGUUAAAAUUUUAUUUUUAAGUUAAAAAGCUUAAAUAUUUUAAAAAGACGAGAAGACCCUAUAGAGCUUAAUUUUAAAAUAUUUAUAUAUUUAAAGAGUUUAAUAUAAAUAAAUUAUUUAAAAAUUUUAUUGGGGUGAUAAAAAAAUUUGAUUAACUUUUUUUAAUUUAGAACAUUUAUAAAUGAUAAUUUGAUCCUAAUAUUUAGAUUAAAAGAAAAAGUUACCUUAGGGAUAACAGCGUAAUUUUUUUUGAGAGUUCUUAUCGAAAGAAAAGAUUGCGACCUCGAUGUUGGAUUAAAGUUAAGUUUUGGUGUAGAAGCUAGAAUUUUAAGUCUGUUCGACUUUUAAAACUUUACA